UACGUAGGGCGCAAGCGUUGUCCGGAAUUAUUGGGCGUAAAGAGCUCGUAGGCGGCUUGUCACGUCGGGUGUGAAAGCCCGGGGCUUAACCCCGGGUCUGCAUUCGAUACGGGCUAGCUAGAGUGUGGUAGGGGGGAUCGGAAUUCCUGGUGUAGCGGUGAAAUGCGCAGAUAUCAGGAGGAACACCGGUGGCGAAGGCGGAUCUCUGGGCCAUUACUGACGCUGAGGAGCGAAAGCGUGGGGAGCGAACAGG
Molecule: ribosomal RNA, 253 nt
Filed under: uncultured bacterium
Lineage: Bacteria
Description: partial 16S ribosomal RNA
Rfam family: Bacterial small subunit ribosomal RNA
Source: RNAcentral